This 148-nucleotide non-coding RNA is filed under the name Homo sapiens (human). The record is from Rfam by way of RNAcentral. Lineage: Eukaryota; Metazoa; Chordata; Mammalia; Primates; Hominidae.
GCCAGGCGUGGUGGUGCACGCCUAUAAUCCCAGCUACUCGGGAGGCUGAAGCAGGAGAAUCACUUGAACCUGGGAGGUGGGGGUUGCAGUGAGCUGAGAUCCUGCUACUGCACUCCAGCCUGGGUGACAGAGUGAGAUCCUGUCUCAA